This 785-nucleotide long non-coding RNA is filed under the name Olea europaea (common olive). RNAcentral's name for it is "long non-coding RNA (OEUR_LNC013119)". The record is from RNAcentral. Lineage: Eukaryota; Viridiplantae; Streptophyta; Magnoliopsida; Lamiales; Oleaceae.
GGAUAUUGGGGAGUCAAACCACCAUUCACAGAGUUAUUUUCAACUGGAUUCUGUUCAUGAUGUGCAGAAGUUCUAUUCUCAUUUACUUCAUGAAUACCAUCCAUAACAAUUCAAGGUGUAUGCAAUAAACAAAUCGACAAACCCCCCUACAAAGUUCCAAAAAUACAACUCUAUAAUUCAGAGAAAACAAAUCUAACUUGUAAAUAGAUUAACACUCCAUUCAUCAAACAAGAAAGUCCAAACAACAGAUCCAAUAUUACAUCACAUCUUUAUGAGAGUUGACACCAUUUAAACUGACUACAGAAAGUAUCAAAAAUUGAUCUUCCAAGUGUUGAAAAGAAUAACAAGGUUUCUUGAAUUCUCAUGCAGAUCUUCACAUAUUCAACUAAACUUAUCAAGAUUGAAGCAAACCCACAAGCAAAGUUCAUUUUUAAUUAGAAAAAACAAGAUAGUAACUAUACAAAACCGGCGAUAAAUCAAGAAAAUGACAGAACAAGAAAAAUCAAGAAAAUUAGAAACAGAUAAAAGAAAGAUUAUACCUUUAGCAAAAGCCCAAUAGAGGGAGUUCCUGGUAUAUUAAAGGAGGGGAAACUUUUUUUUUGUCUUUUGGUGAAUUUUCAAAGUGUGGGUCUGUCCAUAUAGACUAACCUUGCCGUUUGGGAGAGAAUGGGACAGAGGUGGGAUUUUACAAAAAGGCUGAGGGUAAAAAUAAGGAUUUCACAAGUGGGAAUUUUUAUGGUAAAGUUGCAGAGGUGGAAUGUCGGACGAAGGGAGGAGGGGACUUC